Long non-coding RNA from Brienomyrus brachyistius, 4145 nucleotides. RefSeq lists it as uncharacterized. NCBI's taxonomy places the organism in Eukaryota, Metazoa, Chordata, Actinopteri, Osteoglossiformes, Mormyridae. The record is from RefSeq and is a predicted model, not a curated record. The transcript is spliced from 3 exons.
CGUAAUGGCUUAUGUAAACCGACUUACGAAAGUCCGAAUUUAUGUAGAAAAAACAAAACACCCGAGAUACAUAAAGUUUUCGGACGCGCUAACGCAAAAAACGCGACAUACGUAAUACGCAAGCCGCCGGACGCUUGGCCGCACUCCGCAAAGGUGACUUCCUGCAGCUUUCUAGUUCUUGCCUGUGUCUUGUUGUGAUCCAAUCAUUUAGCUGUACGGCUUGCUACUACCAGAAGGCUUGGAAGAUGCAGGACGCUUGGGAGCCAUCAUAGGGCUUAAAACAAAACGAAAACAAUCGGACCACAAGCAUGGGACUGGAGGGUGCAGCCCUAGAUGCAGACCCGAAACCAGAAGAAUAUUCCAGUUACUCAGCCCUACUCGAUCUGGUACGUUCUCAUCCAGCAAACACCGGGCUAUUAAUGAAUAUGGAAGGCCAUCCUGACCAGCCAGAUGAGGGUGCCAGUGAUGAUCCACCACCCACGGAUCACAGUGACCUCAAGAAGAACAAGCAAUGCCCUUGAAUGUUCUGAAGCUAGCAGCUGAGAUGCAGUGGGUAUGUAUUUUGUCACUAGUGGCAAAACCAUGUGAAACCCGAGUUUAUUGUAGCCAUAACAUUUAUUGCAUUCAGUUUAUACAUUGUAGUCUGCAUUAGCAUCUUAGCCCUUUGUAGUUUGAAGGGCUGAUUGUUUUGUCUCAUCUCAUGAUUCCUCUUUUUCAUCUCCAUGUGUGAUGAUGUAGCAUAAAGACUUGUAGUCGAUAUUUCCAGUUGCAUCAAUUGGUGCCACAGAGAAAGCCUGAUCCACCUAUAAAUUUCAUUAAAAGGGUUAUUUUAGCUCAGACAUUAUCGCUGAAUUGAAAAAAAAAGAUAUCUGAGUGACUAUAAUCUAUUGCAGUUUUUCAGGAAUUAGCCGAUUAAUACGUACCUCAUCAGAUGUAAAUUUGUCAGCCUGGUUCAUCAGCAGCCGCCGAAACCUUUCAGGCAAAGGAACAUGAACCACUUCUUGAAUGACCAGUAUAGUCUGUGAUGCAUGUUUAUCAUAUUGUCACACUUAUCCAUUUGACAAUUGGAGUCACAAUAUUACACAUUGGUUUCUUUUGAUUGUAAGGAAUCCACUUACAAAAUCUCUCACCAGUGAAGUUUCAGCGAAAUAAUUUAUCGUAUAGCAAAAUAAACUAUGUAAAGUAGACGUACGCUGGGUGUUAAGAAAUUAACAGUCCUUUUCCAUCCAAGACACCCUAUAAGACCCUCUUUAUCAAGAUAUUGUGACUAGGUGUGGUGAAUGAAUUUGCAUAAAAGGAUGGUCUCCUGCAGUGUAAGGAGCCUGAGGUGGGACAGGCGGCAGAAUAACCAGCUAGUCACUUUUCUGGCCACUGCUAAUUCUGUAGCUUCCUGUUCACCCUAGUGGUGCCCUAAACGGAACUCCCGUUCUUUUCCAGACUUUCCUGUGAUUAUAAUUUGCUAUCUGUAUUAAAAUCAUCAGCCAUGGACACUGGGGCAUCUUUCGUGCCUUUUCUUUGCUGUUGCUAUUUAAUUUCUUCUUUAUAUACUAGGACAUUAAGACCUAAAAGAUUCAUCCAUCCACCUUCUGACCACUUAUUCAGUACAGGGUUGGGGGGGGGGGUGCUUUUCCAGGCAGGGGCCUUGGACAGUAUACCACAUACCCUGGAGAACUGAGAAACACCAACAGACCUAACUGCUUAUCUUUGGCCUGAUUGACAUGGGAAGAACAUGCACACUCCACAUGUAAGGAGCACGUGGAAUUCCAACCCCAAGCCUGAAGGUGUGAAUCAUAGUGUCACUCCUAAGAGGUUCGUUAAAUAUACAAACAUAAAACAGCAAUUUAAAAUCUAUAACACAUGCUCUGAUCAUUCUAAACUAUAUAAUAAUAUUUAGUCUAAGUCCAUGAAAUGUUGUCAAAAAAGCCCUAAAUUUGUUUAUUUUGACACUCCAUAGGAUUGGAGUUCUUAUUGCUGGCAAGUAGUACUGUCAGUUUUCUGUUACAGUGAACACUCACUCAUCCUUGUUAACAAGACCCGUGCCAUCUGGGUCAAAGAGCUUGAAAGCAUUCAGAAUGGUUUCCUCCGGAUCCGUACCUAGGAAAACAAAGGGAGUCUUGCAUGGGUCACCGUCAGGUUUAGCCAAUUUUCUAAACGGACAGCUGGUCAAUGACCCUGCAAACUAUGCCAGAAUAUCAAGAAUAAGGAUUUUUAUUUUUAAAAUAAGUUACAUAUUCUGAUCUCACCCUUGACUAUGAUAAAUUGGAGAAAUUAACUAUAUUAUGCACUAUACUCUUAUUUACACUUUCCUGCUAAAACGUUAAGAAAAGCAAGUAGCUUUCCCAUCAAGGAUACUAGAUAAAUUAACAGGUUAUCAAAAUUGAGCUCCAUAAUCGUUAUUUUGAAUUCCAGCAGAGAUUCUCACCAUUGAGUUUCUCUCCAAAGAGUGUAAGAAAGACAGUGAAGUUGAUGGGGCCUUUUCCUUCAGCUAGCAUCUCUUCCAGCUCCUCAUCCUUCACGUUCAGCUUCCCUGUAGUAGGCACUGUGUUACGCCUUACACCACACACACAGAACUGGACAUCAGCUGGGGCAAAGCUUUACGGACUGAAGCCAAGGACCAUACCUAGCUGUGCGUAGGUUUCUUUAAGGUCCUGCUUUUUGAUGAUGCCAUCUCUAUCCUGGUCGAUACAGCUGAAAGCCUGCAAGUAUUUAAUUAUCAAGAUUGAUUUUCAACCCCGUGUAAUAUGAAUGUUUAUGUUUAUGAAUGUAACUAUAAUAUUCGUUGUGCUCUAUGAUGUGUAUUAUCUUAAAUAAUAUGGGCCUGAAUUCCAGCACUCUUGGCACAGUUUUUCCAUAAGUGAACAACCCUGAUCUUCACCCACCAACCUAACUAUAAUUAAAGACAAACUUUAAAGCCGAAGGGCUGGACAUGCAAAGCUAUACAGCAUACCUCCUUAAACUCCUGGAUCUGUGACUGUUCAAACAUGGAGAAGACGUUGGAGGAGCCCCUCUGGGUACGUUUAGCAGCAGCUUUGCCUUUUGCUUUCUUGCUGGCCUGAUUCAGAGGGAACAUCCGGUUAAUAUUUCACUUUUAGUCUGACUUAUGGCAGACCACGUUGAGGAAAAACCUGCCCAAAUAUGUAUACAAACAUAGCAAUUAACACCUUAGCAGAAAAUUAAAUGGCAAAGUCCGCAAAGUAUUGUAGACUUUUUAAUGCUAUGAUUUCUUCACUUUUUUUUCCUAAAUCUGUUUUUUGCAGAAGUCUUCCAGUAGCUGUUAGCAGUGGACAUCAUACUCACCAUGUCUGCUGUGGAGAUGCCUCUGUGCCCAAGGCCAUAGUCAAACUUGUGGUGGAUAUAAGUAUGGCACCCCUUAUCAGCUCCUCUCCUAUAAUAAGAAGGUGUUGGAACCUGCAGCCCCUUACAUGGAAAUCAUCAUCCCCUUAGACCCAGUGACUAUGAUAAGUGCCCAAUUGCUUGAAUUCCUAUGGGGUGGAACUGAGAUAGGGAUUGGGAGGGGCUUGUCAAAAUGGCCUCAUUAUCACAGGGACGUCUCUGCACAGAAGUGGAGUGAAUAUAGAGGAAAAUCUACAAAUCAGCUAAUUUGUGAAUGUGCGUGAUGUUUCUAGGGAACGUUUCUCUGCAUGUGAAUCCCAUGUGAACUCAUUUACACUCUUUUGUUGCAGGUUAUCGAAUACCUAAUAGAACCAAUGUACUGUAAAAUUAAGGCAAAAUGAAAGGGGGUUUCUGUCUUGUAUCUGACAGGUUGAGCGCGUCGUUGGCUCAUCUUCAAUGGGGUCAUCCUUAUUAGGCGCCUCUGUUAAAUGUACCCAAGAUAAUCAUCCUCAUUUUCAAACGAAAGCCUUGGUCAGGCAGAUUGUCUGCUGAAAUGUAGAAAAAUCUCACCAUCUUGCACUUGGUAGUAAGUUAUUAGUAUGCACCAGCUUACAAAGUAUACCUUUCCUCAAACCACUUCUGGCACAAAACAGACCAUUUAGAGCUCAAUGGAAUGAAGGCUUAAUAAGAGAUGUUUCAUAGGUGAUUCAGAAUCAUACCUGUAGUUCAAAUCUUUUUAUUUACAUUAUACACAAUGUCCAACCGUUUGAUUUAAUAAAUACACAAUAAACAAGUCGAUAUGUAGAAUUAAA